This 253-nucleotide ribosomal RNA is filed under the name uncultured bacterium. Its description in RNAcentral is "partial 16S ribosomal RNA". It matches the Rfam family "Bacterial small subunit ribosomal RNA", at positions 524 to 776 of the family's 1533-position model. The record is from RNAcentral.
UACAGGGGGUGCAAACGUUGCUCGGAAUUACUGGGCGUAAAGGGCUCGUAGGCGGCCAACUAAGUCAGACGUGAAAUCCCCAGGCUCAACCUGGGAACUGCGUCUGAUACUGGAUGGCUUGAAUCCGGGAGAGGGAUGCAGAAUUCCAGGUGUAGCGGUGAAAUGCGUAGAUAUCCGGAGGAACACCGGUGGCGAAGGCGGCUUCCUGGACCGACACUGACGCUGAGGCGCGAAAGCUAGGGGAGCAAACGGG